GUGUGGUACUAGAAUGAUGGGUUAUGGGUAGUAUUAUAGGUGUGGUACUAGACAGAUGGGUUAGUAUUAUAGGUGUGGUACUGGACAGAUGGGUAGUAUUAUAGGUGUGGUACUAGACAGAUGGGUUAUGGUUAGUAUUAUAGGUGUGUUACUGGACAGAUGGGUUAGUAUUAUAGGUGUGGUAAUAGACAGAUGGAUUAGUAUUAUAGGUGUGGUACUGGACAGAUGGGUUAUGGGUAGUAUUAUAGAUGUGGAACUAGACAGAUGGGUUAGUAUUAUAGGUGUGGUACUGCACAGAUGGGUUAGUAUUAUAGGUGUGGUACUAGACAGAUGGGUUAUAGGUAGUAUUAUAGGUGUGGUACUGGACAGAUGGGUUAGUAUUAUAGGUGUGGUACUGGAGAGAUGGGUUAUGGGUAGUACUAUAGGUGUGGUACUAGACAGAUGGGUUAGUAUUAUAGGUGUGGUACUAGACAGAUGGGUUAGUAUUAUAGGUGUGGUACUGGACAGAUGGGUUAGUAUUAUAGGUGUGGUACUGGACAGAUGGGUUAGUAUUAUAGGUGUGGUACUAGACAGAUGGGUUAGUAUUAUAGGUGUGGUACUGGACAGAUGGGUUAGUAUUAUAGGUGUGGUACUGGACAGAUGGGUUAGUAUUAUAGGUGUGGUACUAGACAGAUGGGUUAUGGGUAGUAUUAUAGGUGUGGUACUAGACAGAUGGGUUAGUAUUAUAGGUGUGGUACUAGACAGAUGGGUUAGUAUUAUAGGUGUGGUACUAGACAGAUGGGUUAGUAUUAUAGGUGUGGUACUAGACAGAUGGGUUAGUAUUAUAGGUGUGGUACUAGACAGAUGGGUUAGUAUU
RNAcentral lists this long non-coding RNA (856 nucleotides) under Salmo salar (Atlantic salmon). Its description in RNAcentral is "lncRNA (ENSSSAG00000085015.1)". The record is from RNAcentral. Lineage: Eukaryota; Metazoa; Chordata; Actinopteri; Salmoniformes; Salmonidae.